Molecule: unclassified non-coding RNA, 259 nt
Filed under: Hevea brasiliensis (rubber tree)
Lineage: Eukaryota; Viridiplantae; Streptophyta; Magnoliopsida; Malpighiales; Euphorbiaceae
Source: RNAcentral
UGGGGAAAUCAGUUUAGAAGAUACCGAGGAUUUUGGAAACUUGUUACUUCAGUUUCUUUAUUAGAUGACAAGCUUGGGAUCACUCUUCUUUACAAGGAGUAGUGCUGCAGUACACUUUUAGAAUGCCUCUUAGAGGACUUGGUAUGUCCAAUCUUGCUUGCUGGUUCACUGAAUUUCUUCAAUGCAAUUUUGAUGAGGUGCAAGGGAGUUAAGGAGUUGUGUGGAUGGCAAACGAUGGAUGAGUUACUGGCAAAUUCAA